This 430-nucleotide ribosomal RNA is filed under the name bacterium. RNAcentral describes it as "partial 16S ribosomal RNA". It matches the Rfam family "Bacterial small subunit ribosomal RNA", at positions 355 to 776 of the family's 1533-position model. The record is from RNAcentral.
UGGGGAAUAUUGGACAAUGGGCGAAAGCCUGAUCCAGCCAUGCCGCGUGUGUGAAGAAGGCCUUUUGGUUGUAAAGCACUUUAAGCGAGGAGGAGGCUACUUGGAUUAAUACUCUAGGAUAGUGGACGUUACUCGCAGAAUAAGCACCGGCUAACUCUGUGCCAGCAGCCGCGGUAAUACAGAGGGUGCGAGCGUUAAUCGGAUUUACUGGGCGUAAAGCGUGCGUAGGCGGCUUUUUAAGUCGGAUGUGAAAUCCCUGAGCUUAACUUAGGAAUUGCAUUCGAUACUGGGAAGCUAGAGUAUGGGAGAGGAUGGUAGAAUUCCAGGUGUAGCGGUGAUAUGCGUAGAGAUCUGGAGGAAUACCGAUGGCGAAGGCAGCCAUCUGGCCUAAUACUGACGCUGAGGUACGAAAGCAUGGGGAGCAAACAGG